Salvelinus sp. IW2-2015 is the source of this 435-nucleotide long non-coding RNA. RefSeq lists it as uncharacterized. NCBI's taxonomy places the organism in Eukaryota, Metazoa, Chordata, Actinopteri, Salmoniformes, Salmonidae. The record is from RefSeq and is a predicted model, not a curated record.
CCCCCGCCCCCCGUGACGUUGUGGCCUCGCUGGUCUCCACCCGCUUCAUCAAGCUCACCUGGCGCCCUCCAGCUGAGCCCAAUGGAGAAGACCUCACCUACUCUGUCUACUUCAAUCAGGAGGGUACCAACAGGGAGCGUAUCCUGAAUACAGUCGGCCAGGUGAGAAUGCAGGUGACCAUUCGAAACCUAAUGCCCGACUCCAAGUACAAGUUCCGGGUGUUGGCACAACAACAAGAACGGCCUGGGAGAGAGCUCUGCCGUCCUCAAGGUGGCCACCCAGGGUGAAGUGCAAGUUCCUGGCCCCGCCCCCAACCUGCAGGCUGUGUCGACCACACCCACCUCCGUCACCCUCARCUGGGACACGCCCCUCACUGGCAACGGAGACGUCCUCACGUACAAGGUCUACUAUAUGGAGAAGGGUCUGGACCUGGAA